Molecule: long non-coding RNA, 1797 nt
Filed under: Pseudonaja textilis
Lineage: Eukaryota; Metazoa; Chordata; Lepidosauria; Squamata; Elapidae
Description: lncRNA (ENSPTXG00000000751.1)
Source: RNAcentral
CCGAUCCAGUUGGCCCUUCUGAGUUUCUUCUUGGAAUGUAGCCCAAAGGGCACCUUCUCCCUUCGGCCUCUUCCUCUGUUCCAUUUAUAUUUCCCUGCUUCCCUCUGCAGAGAAGAGAUCCAAGACUUCUUGAACUGUAUCGACGCAAGUCUUGAGGAGCUUCAGGCAAUGCUCUCCGGGAAGAAAACCCACCACGCUCCGGAAGCACUGACGGAUACCUUCAGUCCUGAGCUUCCUGUGUUGGAUUCAAGCAUACCAGAAGCUCCUCUCAGAUUGGAACAGACAGAAGCCUUACCAGCAAACUUAGACGCAGAUGGGAUAAAGAAUGAGGAAACCUCAGGGAAGAACGACAUGCAGCUGAUUCAGUAUCGGGGGAACCCUUUGCUUUCCCUGUUUGAAGAACCGCCUUCCAGUGAGGAAGACGUCCGCCUGGAGAACGCCAGACGGCAUCUGCUGGGUCCCGUGGAGAGCAACGAAGCAGCGCAGCGAGUCACCGGCCCAGAGGGCCAAAUGGACGGAGCCCUGGAUCAGCCUCUUCUCUCAGAAGACAUGAACGGCGAAUAUAAACUCUUCCCUCUUCUGCUUCUCAGCCCCGUGGCAAAUUUCAUAGAAGAGGCCUCAGAAAUAGAGACAACUUGAAUCACUGACCUUUCACAAAAUAGCAUCUUUUCUGUGGAAAAAGAUUCAAGAACCGCUGCUGGUCGCAGUUCUGCUUUCCUUGCUUUCUGUGGCUGAAUUUCCUCCAUAAACAAGGCAAAGCUAUUUUUACCCGCACGAAUGUAGUGUUAGGAAGGCAGCUGCAAGGCUGAAGUUCCAAAUUGCACUGAUUUUUUUUUUUUUUUAAAGUAAAAAAGAGCAAAUUUCAAAUCUCCUUUUGAACUAUUUUAUACACAAAUAUGCUAUAAAUGAGAUUAAUGUUUAUAUCUUAGUGUAAGAUUUGCAUAGGGUUUUCAGGUCAUUUGAUCCCAUAAUCGUCAAUAUUAUCAUAAUACAUUUAUUUUUCUUCCUGAACUGUUCUGUUAAAGAUAGCAAGUAUGUUAGAAUUAUGUUGGGCGUUUUUUUUGUUUGUUUUUGGUAACUAAUCUUCCUUUGCUCCAAACUUUUGCCUCAGUCCUCACUACUCUGACCUUUUAUGUAUUAUUUACCUUUAAGUUCUCCCUCUAAUUGUUGCAAGUAACUUCUGUUUCCUAUGGCAAACAAUAUAUUUUUAACAUUUAUCUUAAAAUAACGGUAGCAUGUCUGCCUGCUGCAUAUUUAGAUACUUCGAUGCUCAUUGCAUGUCGCACCUUCUGUUCCCAAGAUGUGGCUUUCUCACGAAUAAAUAAUAGAAUUAUCCAAGAAGAAGUACCGGUAUACCAUCAAAGCCACCUUUGCUCUUUAAGUCAACAUUUCCUUGCAUAGGCCUGAACCCCGAUAAGGUGUUCUGUCCAGGUACCGCUGGCAGGUGCCCUUCUGAGGCUUGGGACCUGAUGCCCACGGGGUUUGCUGGUUCCAGCGAUUUUCUCCCAGACUGCAGAGUCUUCUGUGCCCCCUGCCUUCAAAAGCGGAAUUUAGAGACCAUUUAGCAUGUUGGGAUAAAUAGAAAGAUUAACCUCUCUUCUGGAUGGGCAGGACAUCUCCUGAACUUGUUUGGCCCUUUGCCCGUAAACAAAAUAUAGUGGCCAAAUCCAGCCACCCAACAUCCCAGCAAGCGUCACGAGUGCCAACCCUUUAAUUCCACAUCAUCUUUGGGGGCGGAAGAACCAUAGGGAUUGGAGCCAAAAUUCCCACCUUAGCUCUCCUGUAAGUGGUUUAAUC